GUGCCCGUAGCUCAACUGGAUAGAGCACCGCCCUUCUAAGGCGGGGGUUACAGGUUCGAUUCCUGUCGGGCACACCA
RNAcentral lists this transfer RNA (77 nucleotides) under Gammaproteobacteria bacterium. RNAcentral describes it as "tRNA-Arg". It matches the Rfam family "tRNA". Rfam says of the family: Transfer RNA (tRNA) molecules are approximately 80 nucleotides in length. Their secondary structure includes four short double-helical elements and three loops (D, anti-codon, and T loops). Further hydrogen bonds mediate the characteristic L-shaped molecular structure. tRNAs have two regions of fundamental functional importance: the anti-codon, which is responsible for specific mRNA codon recognition, and the 3' end, to which the tRNAs corresponding amino acid is attached (by aminoacyl-tRNA synthetases). tRNAs cope with the degeneracy of the genetic code in two manners: having more than one tRNA (with a specific anti-codon) for a particular amino acid; and 'wobble' base-pairing, i.e. permitting non-standard base-pairing at the 3rd anti-codon position. The record is from RNAcentral. RNAcentral also lists the same sequence under 2 other names. Lineage: Bacteria; Pseudomonadati; Pseudomonadota; Gammaproteobacteria.